RNAcentral lists this long non-coding RNA (1116 nucleotides) under Gouania willdenowi (blunt-snouted clingfish). RNAcentral describes it as "lncRNA (ENSGWIG00000025077.1)". Lineage: Eukaryota; Metazoa; Chordata; Actinopteri; Blenniiformes; Gobiesocidae. The record is from RNAcentral.
AUGCCUAAAAAACACGCACACAGACAAGGUCGGCUCCGUAUUGAGAAACCUAAGAAACCUAAGAAAGAUUCAUCUGAGUCUGUGCCUCCUAAAAAACCAGUGUUGGCUCCCACGGAAAAACCUAAACUGGACAAAUCUUUUUUCCUCCUCGAUCCAAAAUGUUCAUCCAUUCCUCAUGGACCUUCUCAACACCAGGAACCUGUUAAAGAAACAGUAGCAGGCAACAAGGCUCACAACCCAACGUCUGUUACAAAGAGUCGACUCGACUCUCAGCAGAUGGAAAUGACCGUCCUCCAACGUUCUCAGGUCCAAAAUGACACUUCUGUGGUUGACCAACUGAGGGAGGAAAAUGCCAAAUAUAAACUGUCUCUGAUCCAGUUCCAACAAGAAUCAGAGGCCCAACAGAAACAGAGGGACAAAGAAAAGGCCAGUUUAUUGGACAUACAGAAGGAGAAGGAGACCAUUUUGGAGCAACAACGAAAGAUGAUUGACCAUCUCGAACAGACACUGGAGAAAUCAUCAGAAGACUUUGAGGUGCUGAAGGAGCAGUUGGCGACAGAAAAAGAUGCUCAACAACAUCAAACCAAUCUGCUGAUUGAACUCAAAGAAGAGGAAAUCUCCAACCUCAGCUUUUCAUUGGAAUCAUCUGAGCGUACGGUCUCCACCCAAGCCCUGGAACUGGAAAAUCAAGUUCAUCUGGAGGCUGAAAAUGUAAAUAUGAUUUCCACCUUGAAGGCGUCGCUCACCACUGAAGAGGAAAAGCUUGAAGAAACAAGAGAGAAAUGCAAGCAACUGAACGACGUCCAAAAACAGGACAAGGAGCUGAUCCACCUUCUUCAGACCAAGCUGAAGCUGAAGGAAAAAGAACUUCAAGAACAAUGCCUUCAGGCCAAAAACGAGCAGGAGAAGCUUCAAUUUGAAAUCACACAACAGAGGGAGGAGAAUGUCUGUGCUUCAAAACAAAAUAAUGUGUUUAAAACACAACUCAGCAUCAAGAUGAGUGAAUCUGAGGAAGAUCCUCCAACAACAAAGUCUCUGUUUAGGCGUUUCAUCAACUUUCUGAUGAAGGGAUGGCAGAAGAUAAAAAAGUUCUUCACGGAUAUCAUCAGAAGAUAG